Molecule: ribosomal RNA, 460 nt
Filed under: uncultured bacterium
Lineage: Bacteria
Description: partial 16S ribosomal RNA
Rfam family: Bacterial small subunit ribosomal RNA
Source: RNAcentral
CCUACGGGAGGCAGCAGUGAGGAAUAUUGGUCAAUGGGCGAGAGCCUGAACCAGCCAAGUCGCGUGAAGGAUGACUGCCCUAUGGGUUGUAAACUUCUUUUGUAUGGGAAUAAAAUGUUCCACGUGUGGGAUUUUGUAUGUACCCUAUGAAUAAGGAUCGGCUAACUCCGUGCCAGCAGCCGCGGUAAUACGGAGGAUCCGAGCGUUAUCCGGAUUUAUUGGGUUUAAAGGGAGCGUAGGUGGAUUGUUAAGUCAGUUGUGAAAGUUUGGGGAUCAACCUUAAACGUGCCGUUGAAACUGGCAGUCUUGAGUACACGAGAGGUGGGCGGAAUGCGUGGUGUAGCGGUGAAAUGCUUAGAUAUCACGAAGAACUCCGAUUGCGAAGGCAGCUUACCGGACUGCAACUGACACUGAGGCUCGAAAGCGUGGGUAUCAAACAGGAUUAGAUACCCGGGUAGUC